This 1016-nucleotide long non-coding RNA is filed under the name Ananas comosus (pineapple). Its description in RNAcentral is "long non-coding RNA (ACOM_LNC029285)". The record is from RNAcentral. Lineage: Eukaryota; Viridiplantae; Streptophyta; Magnoliopsida; Poales; Bromeliaceae.
ACCAAAUUAAGCUUAAUUGGUGACUUUGGGGACUGAUUUAGAAGGUGUUCUAACCAAGGGUAAGCAGGAAUUUCAGCUAGAAAUUUAAUGUCGCAAGAAUUCGAUUAUAAUAGCUUAUAAUCGACUAUAUUGAUGCCGUUUCGAUGUUGUUCGCAGCGAGAGUGCGAUCGAGCCUUGGAUCGUUUUAGUUGACUUGGGAGAGCUCUUGGAGACUCUUCUUGAGGUAUUACACUAGCCAAAACAGGGAAUUAAGCUUCCAUUUUGUAUUAAUUGAGAAUUUUGCCGAACUUAUAAUCGAAGUGAUCGCUUCGGUGCGACUUUCGUGUUUUGUUUUCAGCUGGAUUGGGGCCUAGUGGAGCUGAGUUUUGGGACUUCUUACAAUUGGAUUGCGCUUAGUAAUAGGUGGGUUUGACCUAACCAGAGCAAGUGGAGCUCCCCUAUGUUCUAUAUGUACUAUAGAAUUGAUACAGUUGUAUGCUUUUGUGAUUGAUAUAGAACUUGAGACGAGUCACUAUAUUAUAGUGUUGAUAUAUAAUUGAAUUGAAAUCUCUAUGAAGUAGAGAACCCUCAUGCAUAUAAGUCUUUAUAUACAUGUUUAAUUUAGUUGAGUGAUUAAUGGACAAGUUAUCAUGUUUCUAGAAAAUAGAAAACCGUGACAUCCUUAUGACACUUUCUUGACUCUAAAGUAGAGAAUGAUGACAUGCUUAUGAUUAUGUUUAUAGUGCCAUGAUAGUGAAAAGAUUCUAAUGCCAUAUGUAAAUUAGCAUUACUCUUGCAUGUUUAUUAAUCUAGUGAAUACUAGCUGUUAUCAAUACUUGUUAUAUUGAGAUUCCGAUCAAAGGAUCGAGAGCAAGAACAAUGCAAGUUGGAAAGUGAUGAUUGAGACAUAUUGAGCUUUAGAUUUGCUUGCUGCCAUUGUGCUCAUUCGCACACGCUUGUGAGGGUCGCUCCCUACAAGCCGGCACUCCGGAGUUGGCCUACGCGACAGUUGCUCGCCCGUGCGGGAUUGGGUGCCG